AACGGCCGUACCACGCUGAAUAUACCGGUUCUCGUUCGAUCACCGAAGUCAAGCAUCAUUGGGCGCGGUCAGUACUUGGGUGGGUGACCACCUGGGAACACUGCGUGCCGUU
RNAcentral lists this ribosomal RNA (112 nucleotides) under Caerostris darwini. The record is from RNAcentral. Lineage: Eukaryota; Metazoa; Arthropoda; Arachnida; Araneae; Araneidae.